Heterocephalus glaber (naked mole-rat) is the source of this 121-nucleotide non-coding RNA. Lineage: Eukaryota; Metazoa; Chordata; Mammalia; Rodentia; Bathyergidae. The record is from Rfam.
CACUAUGGCCAUACCAUCCUGAUUGUGCCUGAUCUCAUCUGAUCUCGGAAGCUAAGCAGGGUCGGGCCUAGUUAGUACUUGGAUGGAAUACCUUUCCACAAAACACUAAAAAAUAUAAAGC